GACGAACGCUGGCGGCGUGCUUAACACAUGCAAGUCGAACGGUGAAGCGCCUUCCUUUUUGGUGGGUGUGGAUGAGUGGCGAACGGGUGAGUAACACGUGAGUAACCUGCCCCCUUCUUCUGGAUAACCGCAUGAAAGUGUGGCUAAUACGGGAUAUUCUGGGUCUGUCGCAUGAUGGGUCUGGGAAAGAUAUUGUUUCGGUGGGGGAUGGGCUCGCGGCCUAUCAGCUUGUUGGUGGGGUGAUGGCCUACCAAGGCGGUGACGGGUAGCCGGCCUGAGAGGGUGGACGGGCACAAUGGGACUGAGACACGGCCCAGACUCCUACGGGAGGCAGCAGUGGGGAAUAGUGCACAAUGGGCGCAAGCCUGAUGCAGCGACGCCGCGUGAGGGAUGGAGGCCUUCGGGUUGUGAACCUCUUUCGCCAGUGAAGCAGGCCUGCCUCGUUUGUGGGUGGGUUGACGGUAGCUGGAUAAGAAGCGCCGGCUAACUACGUG
This 494-nucleotide ribosomal RNA is filed under the name uncultured bacterium. Its description in RNAcentral is "partial 16S ribosomal RNA". It matches the Rfam family "Bacterial small subunit ribosomal RNA", at positions 28 to 507 of the family's 1533-position model. The record is from RNAcentral.